This is a long non-coding RNA of Homo sapiens (human), 981 nucleotides long. RefSeq lists it as uncharacterized. NCBI's taxonomy places the organism in Eukaryota, Metazoa, Chordata, Mammalia, Primates, Hominidae. The record is from RefSeq and is a predicted model, not a curated record. The transcript has 3 exons.
CAGUCUGGGAAGUGAGGAGCGCCUCUUCCUGGCCGCCAUCCCAUCUAGGAAGUGAGGAGCGUCUCUGGCCGGCUGCCCAUCGCCUGAGAUGUGAGGAGUGCCUCGGCCAGGCCGUGAACCUGUCUGGGAUCUGAGGAGUGUCUCUGCCUGACCGCCACCCCGUCUGGGAGAGACUGUUACAUUUAAAGAAUGCAUCAAAUAGCACAUACCCAGUGGCAGGAGAAAUCGAAGAUGAUUUGGAGGUUUCAAACCAGGGAGAUAUACGGCCACUCAGGAAAAGCAGGAAGAAAAUGUGGAGCUUGAGAUUUCAGCAGAGGCUGACCCAUCAAGUGGAAUCCUGUGGCCAAGAAGCAGCUCCGGCAGAAAGUCAGAGAGAGAGGAGAGUGAGGAUAAGGUACCAUUCCUCUGGUUCUGUUGUUGAAAACUCCGAUUCAUUUUUCAAGUACUUGCUGCAAUGUGACUUUAUGAAACGGUAGAGAGGAUGGAUUUAGGAAGGGAUAGAGAAAUCAAGGACAAUUAGGAAUAAAAGAACUAAAGAAGACAUUUUUGUAAUUGUACACAUUGAGAAGUAAUAAAUACCAUUAGGGAUACACAUUCUUUGAGGACCAGCCUCAGUGUUUUUAACUUUCUGUUCCCAAUGUCUAGCUCUGCUCUCCAGUAUAGAAAACAUACUCAACACAUAUUAUUUGAAUAAAAAAGAUGAACUAUAAGAUAAGCAAAGGUCAGGAGUCCAAGGUUUACCUUGUAUCCAUUGUCUUCCUUGCGGUUGUGAGAGGCAGUAAUCAUCACACCUGCAACUGCUUUGAGCUUCUGAACUGCAUAUGGCUGAAAAAUAAAUAACACCAUAAUUCCAUUUUGCUUCCUAGCUAUUUACACAUUUGACAUGAGAAUAAUUUUGAUUAAAUAACAGGAAAAGCAUUAUAGUAUGAUAUUGCUUUUGUUGAUACCCUCUUUAUUUUCUAUUUACUUGAUUUUUCCUCA